RNAcentral lists this transfer RNA (88 nucleotides) under Cyanobacteria bacterium FACHB-471. RNAcentral describes it as "tRNA-OTHER". It matches the Rfam family "tRNA". Rfam says of the family: Transfer RNA (tRNA) molecules are approximately 80 nucleotides in length. Their secondary structure includes four short double-helical elements and three loops (D, anti-codon, and T loops). The record is from RNAcentral. Lineage: Bacteria; Bacillati; Cyanobacteriota. RNAcentral also lists the same sequence under 2 other names.
UGGAAGGUGCGGCUGUGUGGACGGCAACUGGUUUGGAAAACCAGAGGAUAGUGUAACGCUAUUGAGGUUCGACUCCUCCUCCUUCCGC